UCAACAUUUCAGUCCUGCACAGAGGACUUUCAUCAGGAUCAAAUACAAAACUUAUUUUGUAUUGGAUCCUGAUGAAAGUCCUCUGUGCAGGACUGAAACG
This is a non-coding RNA of Pelobates cultripes (western spadefoot toad), 100 nucleotides long. NCBI's taxonomy places the organism in Eukaryota, Metazoa, Chordata, Amphibia, Anura, Pelobatidae. The record is from the annotation of a GenBank genome assembly.